Coturnix japonica (Japanese quail) is the source of this 1980-nucleotide non-coding RNA. The record is from RefSeq and is a predicted model, not a curated record. NCBI's taxonomy places the organism in Eukaryota, Metazoa, Chordata, Aves, Galliformes, Phasianidae.
CCAACCCGCACGAGACUAUUGCUAUUACUAUUACUAAAUUGGUUGGACCAACAUUUGAACGGUUGUUUCUUUAUCUCACGCCUGGUAUACAUAUAUCAAAGAACCUCUUCUCCAUCCUAUAAAUUGGAGCGAGACAGUAUAUGAAAACACUACCUGAAGCUGAGAGACUUGCAGGAAAAUGAAUUCUGGAACUGCUAACUGGCUCUGCUUAAGGAGGCUCUUACCUGGCUUUUCCCACUUAUCCACUAUCGGACAGGAGACUACUGAACUAGGUGUUCAUUCAGAGGGAUCCAAGAGGGUUGUUCUUGUGUCAUGAUCUUGCAGCAAUACCAUUAUACUAAGACUGAAAAUCUACACAUAUACUUCUUUGCUUUUGGUGUCCUGAAUUUUCUUGUGGAAUUGACUAUUAAAUUUUUCCAAGAAUCACAGUACCAAAAAUACCUAUGCAAUUAUCUCUCUGUUAACUGAAAAGAUUUAGAAGACUAAAAGAAAAGAUACCCCUUAAAGCAAACCAAUGUGUUUCAGAAAACAGAACUCACAAAUUCCUGACUUUUACUAUCCUGCUUAUCCAUCAUCUUCUUCUUAAACUUCAGUCUAUGAAAUAUGUAUGGGAAACUGGUAAUCACAGCCUGAACCUCUGAUUAAUCAGCUAACGUGAUUGUCAGGUCAGCUGGGGGAACACAGGUGAGAGUAAUUCAGCUGUGCUUCCAGAAGUGGUGGAGCUUGACUCCACCUCUUUUAGACUUCAUUUAAGAGCUGACCAUCACUAAGGUUGCAUCUCUUGGUUACUGCUCCUCUGUGGGGAUUACCUUUGUGUUUUCCAGCUAGACUGGUGGCUUCUAUACUGACAUCCCUGUGACAUUGGGAUGAAAGGACUGAGCACAACUCUGCCAAAAAAAGACCUGGGGGUACUGGUGGAUGAGAAGCUGGAUUUUCCAGCUCUUGGACUAUGGAAAUAUGAAAAAGAAAAGAACAGAGAAAGAGCUGUAAGGAUAACACAAAGCUAAACCCCAGAACAGUUCAUCUUCCUUAAUCCUUGAAGAGCUUCAGAGAGAAUUUAUUUGUAUUACAGUCAAGAGCUUAUUGCUGAUGAAAGUGAACAUCAUGCACUGAAAUGUCAAGCUUAUAAACUGCUGCCUCCCACUGAAGUCUUCUCCUUUUUUGUCUGUCUUGAAGAAAAGAGCGUCAGAUGACUGUUGUGCUGUCAGUUACAAAGAGGAGUCUGAGCUCCAUGUAGGGCUUCUGCUAGUUUGCUGCUAUUAGGAUGCUCUUGCUAGUCAAGUAAGGGAGGUAGAGUUGACAUCAAGAAAACAGACUUUUGGGUAUGAAGGAUUAUUAAACUUUAUAAGAUAUUUAGAUGUGUAGCUCUUUAGAGGACAGGCAAGUAGCCAGCAGGUACUAGACUACAUAUGGUUUAGGGUGAUGAGGGUGGUAAAAGUAAAGAGUGCAACUUUUUUUAAAGUGGUUAUGAGACUUCCUUCCUAAUCACCAUUAGUUCAGUAUUUUCUAUACUGACAGGCUGCAGUAUAUAAACCUAAAAAUAAAAUUACAGGGGCCUUAUUAAAGUGUUACAUUCUGAAGUUCAUCCUGGGCUGAGUUACAGAAGAUCUUGUUUGCUAGAUAUUAAAAGUCUACCCACCUUUCUGAAUUUAUUUUCGUUUCCUGAGGAGAAGAGUAAGGAUUUUUCUUUUUUUUUUUUUUUUGUCUGGGAAUCUUCUAAAUAAGCAAAUUGAAACCCCUUACAAGGUAAAAUACUCUGUGUUGAGAGAAUUUCCAUUACUGUGAUCUGUGAUUUUGUAUCUUACUGUUACUAGCCAAUCUGCUGUUAGUUAAAGGUGAAAUUUGCUGGCUUAGGCCAUAGAGAGAAACAGUAUGUAAAUCAAAUGCACAUGUUUUGGAACCAAAAGUGUAUGAUGUAUGAGACAUAAUCAUGGAAAAUAAUUCCAAGUCUUUAAAUAUAUUGCUUACUUUGUAUGCUAA